Molecule: ribosomal RNA, 492 nt
Filed under: uncultured bacterium
Lineage: Bacteria
Description: bacterial SSU rRNA
Rfam family: Bacterial small subunit ribosomal RNA
Source: RNAcentral
GACGAACGCUGGCGGCGCGCUUAACACAUGCAAGUCGAGCGAGAACCAUGGCUUCGGCCAUGGGGACAGCGGCAAACGGGUGAGUAACACGUGAGUAAUCUGCCCUCGACACUGGGAUAGCCCGGGGAAACCCGGAUUAAUACCGGAUAGCCUUUCAAGCUCUCGGGCUCGUCAAAAAAGAUGGCUUCGGCUUUCGGUUGAGGAUGAGCUUGCGGCGGAUUAGCUUGUUGGUGAGGUAACGGCUCACCAAGGCAACAAUCCGUAGCUGGUCUGAGAGGACAAUCAGCCACACUGGGACUGAAACACGGCCCAAACUCCUACGGGGGGCAGCAGUGGGGAAUCUUGCGCAAUGAGCGAAAGCUUGACGCACCGACGCCGCGUGAGGGAAGAAGGCCUUCGGGUUGUAAACCUCUUUCAGGAGGGACAAACCCACUCGGGUUAAUACCCCAAAGGGUGACGGUACCUCCAAAAAAAGCCCCGGCUAACUACGUG